Long non-coding RNA from Humulus lupulus (European hop), 1150 nucleotides. RefSeq lists it as uncharacterized. The transcript has 2 exons. The record is from RefSeq and is a predicted model, not a curated record. Lineage: Eukaryota; Viridiplantae; Streptophyta; Magnoliopsida; Rosales; Cannabaceae.
ACGAAUCUUUUUGAAACCCUACCAUAUAAUCCUCCAAAACUAUGUAGGUAUAUUAUUUAAUUGACUCAUUGAGAACAUGACUUUUGAGCUCUUGAACCUUCACCAUGUUCCUUCAUCACGUUACUUGAUCCCGUAUUUGUUCUGGUGCUAAUCCAAAUUGCUUGUCCGUCCAAGAGUGUUUUGUGGCAGUGAUUAGUAAACUACUAUUUGCAUAUUUACCUACUGCAUUAACUUCUCUUAAAUUUAUGUAGCAUUAAUUGCUUAGCUUCUUUAUAAUUUUAGGGUUUCUCUUAUCACAUCCCUCUUUCUUCUGAUUCUCCGACUAUCUUGAGUCUUCUUAACUGUCAUUUUAUGGUUUCUAUGAAAUUAUUGAUAAUUAUGUCUACAAUUAGGGAAAUAGCCGUGAGAGUUGAAGUUUUUGGUUAUCAUUGCCUAUUUUGUGUAUUUCGCCAAUAAGAAGGAAAAUCUAAAAGAAUUUCAGAAGAAAAUAAUACUAGCUUGGUGUUAACCCAAAAAAUAUGAGAUGAAUUACUCAGCACGGGGUGCAGCUGACAGGGGCGUAUGAAGAAAGUGAGACGCUGACUUUGAGGUGAGCAGCUCAAGUCAAGCUUGACGACUUACGACAACCAGAUAGUCUCUAGAUCGCUUCUUGCGCCAACUACUUAGUUCGAGAUGUAUGUUACCCAGAUCGCCUUCACGAAGCUCUAAACAUGACCCAAGCUAGUUCAGAUUAGUCCGACGACAUCCAGCUCGUAGGAAGGGUUCAGCUCGUGGAAGUCAUGAUGCACAGUGAAGGAUGCCAAAAGACUUGAGAUUCUUUAUACACCUAAUAAAUGCCCAUGUGUUAUUAUGCAAUUAUUACCUGAUACAAUGAGUAUAAAUUUAAUAGGUGAUCCUAUAUUUAUGUAAAUGGGAAGUUACCCAAAUUGGGCAAUUACCAUAUUAAUGCACGGUUACCAAAAAUUGUUCAAGAAAAUCUCCUAUUAAUAUAGGGAGAAUGGACAGUUAAAGGGAUCGACUUUCUAUUUGCAAAUACUCUUCGAAAAUUGUCAAACAAUUUUCUCUAUAGUCCUAAACAGAUCAAUAAGAGUGAUUCGUGGACUAGGUAGAUUCUAAUCAUUGAACCACGUAAAAUUGUGAGUAUUUUAUA